UGAAAUCCCGUCCUGCUAAAAGGUAGUUUUAUUGAUACACAGCUAUCAUCCUUAACAGGUUGUCUCCACUUUGCUGUUAUUCUUGUAUUUAUAUGUAGCUGCUAUUUUCGGAUCCGAGCAUUAAUCUAUAAAUUCACUUUUUGGCUUCCUUUUUUCAGCUUGUAGGACAAAUUGCAUAAGAUAAUAGAUUUUUUUCCGUGCUUGUUAAUCCACCUUUCUGUUUUCAUUGUUCUAGAAUAUCAUCCUUUGAAUGAACAAAGAAUUUAAAUUUUAAACUUUUCCUUUUGAAAUUGGCUUUAUGUUGACAUUACCUUUCUUUUCCUUUGUCAUUAUCAGAACAUACGGAGUAUUACAUCUGGUCAUUUGCUACUGCAAUAGUAUCCUAUAAUCUUUUUUCUUGUUUCGUUUUGUUAUUUUUCACUAUUAGUUUUUAUUGUAAGUAUUGUUAA
This 449-nucleotide unclassified non-coding RNA is filed under the name Hevea brasiliensis (rubber tree). The record is from RNAcentral. Lineage: Eukaryota; Viridiplantae; Streptophyta; Magnoliopsida; Malpighiales; Euphorbiaceae.